GCCCCGGUAGCUCAGGUGGAUAGAGCAAGAGCCUUCUAAGCUCUAGGUCGGGGGUUCGAGUCCCUCCCGGGGUACCA
Molecule: transfer RNA, 77 nt
Filed under: Gammaproteobacteria bacterium
Lineage: Bacteria; Pseudomonadati; Pseudomonadota; Gammaproteobacteria
Description: tRNA-Arg
Rfam family: tRNA
About the family: Transfer RNA (tRNA) molecules are approximately 80 nucleotides in length. Their secondary structure includes four short double-helical elements and three loops (D, anti-codon, and T loops).
Source: RNAcentral